UACGUAGGGGGCAAGCGUUAUCCGGAUUUAUUGGGUUUAAAGGGUGCGUAGGCGGACGCUUAAGUCAGCGGUAAAAUUGCGGGGCUCAACCUCGUCGAGCCGUUGAAACUGGGUGCCUUGAGUGGGCGAGAAGUACGCGGAAUGCGUGGUGUAGCGGUGAAAUGCAUAGAUAUCACGCAGAACUCCGAUUGCGAAGGCAGCAUACCGGCGCCCUACUGACGCUGAGGCACGAAAGCGUGGGUAUCGAACAGG
RNAcentral lists this ribosomal RNA (252 nucleotides) under uncultured bacterium. RNAcentral's name for it is "partial 16S ribosomal RNA". It matches the Rfam family "Bacterial small subunit ribosomal RNA", at positions 524 to 776 of the family's 1533-position model. The record is from RNAcentral.